Molecule: long non-coding RNA, 639 nt
Filed under: Homo sapiens (human)
Lineage: Eukaryota; Metazoa; Chordata; Mammalia; Primates; Hominidae
Description: HSALNT0051409
Source: RNAcentral
CAAGUCAGUUACAUAAGCCCUGGUGGGACGUCCCUAAGGCAGCCCCUGGGACUCGGGAAGAGGGGAACUACAGGGACCCCACCCUUCCCCAAGCAAUUCUUGCAUGACUUCGAGGAAGUCUUCAGAAACCACAGGCUGAGGACGCUUUGUGAAGAAGGUUAAAGAAGGGGGAACAAAAAAAUCAGAGACUCAGAGCACGCCAGCCCCCAAGGCAAAGAACAGCUUUUCCCGAGCACUCUGUGAUUGUGUACUGCAUACCAGACCCAGACCCAGCCCUCCAGGCGACGAUGACAAUCAGAUGGAGACCCGAACCAAGCAUGGAGUGGACACUCAGAAGUCUGUAAUACAACGCUGUAUGUGACAGUGCCACAGCAGGAAGGGAGGAAUGGCAGGGAAUGUGAAGGAGAAAUUAUUUCCAGUACAAAGAACCAAGGAAGGCCUCUUAAAGGAGGAGGAUCCCGAACUCAGGACUAAGGACACAAAUGAUUUGAAAACAUGGGCUGAUGAGGUGGGGGACAGAAGGAAGGAUUUGAGACUCUAAAGACAUUACAAAACAGAGUGCCUGUAGGAUAAAGACAUUACAAAACAGAGUGCCUGUAGGAUAAAGACAUUACAAAACAGAGUGCCCGUAGGAUAAAG